This 426-nucleotide ribosomal RNA is filed under the name uncultured bacterium. RNAcentral describes it as "bacterial SSU rRNA". It matches the Rfam family "Bacterial small subunit ribosomal RNA", at positions 354 to 796 of the family's 1533-position model. The record is from RNAcentral.
GUGAGGAAUUUUCCGCAAUGGGCGAAAGCCUGACGGAGCAAUGCCGCGUGAAGGAUGAAGGCCUAUGGGUUGUAAACUUCUUUUCUCAGAAAAGAAUUAUGACGGUAUCUGAGGAAUAAGCAUCGGCUAACUCUGUGCCAGCAGCCGCGGUAAGACAGAGGAUGCAAGCGUUAUCCGGAAUGAUUGGGCGUAAAGCGUCUGUAGGUUGUUUAAAAAGUAUUCUGUCAAAGAUUAGGGCUUAACCCUAGAUAGGCAGAAUAAACUUUUAAGCUAGAGUUUGGUAGAGGCAGAGGGAAUUCCCGGUGGAGCGGUGAAAUGCGUAGAUAUCGGGAGGAACACCAAAGGCGAAGGUACUCUGCUGGGCCAAUACUAACACUGAGAGACGAAAGCGAGGGGAGCAAAUGGGAUUAGAUACCCUUGUAGUCC